This 460-nucleotide ribosomal RNA is filed under the name uncultured bacterium. RNAcentral describes it as "partial 16S ribosomal RNA". It matches the Rfam family "Bacterial small subunit ribosomal RNA", at positions 338 to 795 of the family's 1533-position model. The record is from RNAcentral.
CCUACGGGAGACAGCAGUGAGGAAUAUUGGUCAAUGGCCGGAAGGCUGAACCAGCCAUGCCGCGUGAAGGUCAGUGCCCUAUGGGCGUUAAACUUCUUUUGUGCGGGAGCAAUAAUGGUCACGUGUGGCCAGACUAGAGUACCGUACGAAUAAUCAUCGGCUAACCCCGUGCCAGCAGCCGCGGUAAUACGGGGGAUGCAAACGUUAUCCGGGUUUAUUGGGUUUAAAGGGUGCGUAGGCUGGGAGGAAAGUCAGCGGUGAAAUGCCCCCGCUCAACGGGGUGAAGUGCCAUUGAUACUGCCUAGCUGGAAUGCGGAUGCGGUGGGAGGAAUGUGUGGUGUAGCGGUGAAAUGCAUAGAUAUCACACAGAACACCGAUUGCGAAGGCAUCUCACGAAUCCGCGAUUGACGCUGAUGCACGAAAGCGUGGGUAUCAAACAGGAUUAGAUACCCGGGUAGUC